This 466-nucleotide ribosomal RNA is filed under the name uncultured bacterium. RNAcentral describes it as "partial 16S ribosomal RNA". It matches the Rfam family "Bacterial small subunit ribosomal RNA", at positions 28 to 507 of the family's 1533-position model. The record is from RNAcentral.
GACGAACGCUGGCGGCGCGCCUAACACAUGCAAGUCGAACGAGCGAGCGAGAGCUUGCUUUCUUGAGCGAGUGGCGAACGGGUGAGUAACGCGUGAGGAACCUGCCUCAAAGAGGGGGACAACAGUUGGAAACGACUGCUAAUACCGCAUAAGCCAACGGUGCCGCAUGGCACAGAGGGAAAAGGAGCAAUCCGCUUUGAGAUGGCCUCGCGUCCGAUUAGCUAGUUGGUGAGGUAACGGCCCACCAAGGCGACGAUAGGUAGCCGGACUGAGAGGUUGAACGGCCACAUUGGGACUGAGACACGGCCCAGACUCCUACGGGAGGCAGCAGUGGGGAAUAUUGCACAAUGGGGGAAACCCUGAUGCAGCGACGCCGCGUGGAGGAAGAAGGUCUUCGGAUUGUAAACUCCUGUUGUUGGGGAAGAUAAUGACGGUACCCAACAAGGAAGUGACGGCUAACUACGUG